Molecule: ribosomal RNA, 301 nt
Filed under: uncultured bacterium
Lineage: Bacteria
Description: partial 16S ribosomal RNA
Rfam family: Bacterial small subunit ribosomal RNA
Source: RNAcentral
CAGCCGCCGCGGUAAAACGUAGGGUGCAAGCGUUAAUCGGAAUUACUGGGCGUAAAGCGUGCGCAGGCGGUUUGUUAAGACAGAUGUGAAAUCCCCGGGCUCAACCUGGGAACUGCAUUUGUGACUGGCAAGCUAGAGUGUGGCAGAGGGGGGUGGAAUUCCGCGUGUAGCAGUGAAAUGCGUAGAUAUGCGGAGGAACACCGAUGGCGAAGGCAGCCCCCUGGGCCAACACUGACGCUCAUGCACGAAAGCGUGGGGAGCAAACAGGAUUAGAUACCCCUGUAGUCCCUGUCUCUUAUAC